This 465-nucleotide ribosomal RNA is filed under the name uncultured Klebsiella sp. RNAcentral's name for it is "bacterial SSU rRNA". It matches the Rfam family "Bacterial small subunit ribosomal RNA", at positions 338 to 795 of the family's 1533-position model. The record is from RNAcentral. Lineage: Bacteria; Pseudomonadati; Pseudomonadota; Gammaproteobacteria; Enterobacterales; Enterobacteriaceae.
CCUACGGGAGGCUGCAGUGGGGAAUAUUGCACAAUGGGCGCAAGCCUGAUGCAGCCAUGCCGCGUGUGUGAAGAAGGCCUUCGGGUUGUAAAGCACUUUCAGCGGGGAGGAAGGCGUUAAGGUUAAUAACCUUGGCGAUUGACGUUACCCGCAGAAGAAGCACCGGCUAACUCCGUGCCAGCAGCCGCGGUAAUACGUAGGGUACAAGCGUUAAUCGGAAUUACUGGGCGUAAAGCGCACGCAGGCGGUCUGUCAAGUCGGAUGUGAAAUCCCCGGGCUCAACCUGGGAACUGCAUUCGAAACUGGCAGGCUAGAGUCUUGUAGAGGGGGGUAGAAUUCCAUGUGUAGCGGUGAAAUGCGUAGAGAUCGGGAGGAAUACCGGUGGCGAAGGCGGCCACCUGGACAAAGACUGACGCUCAGGUGCGAAAGCGUGGGGAGCAAACAGGAUUAGAUACCCUGGUAGUC